GCCCCCCGCACCGGGAGGAGCUGAUGUCGAGGAGGGGCGGGCGCGAGGCUGGCCACGCUGACGAGGCCCCUCCUCCCUCCGGGUGCCCAGCCCCGCUGAUGGGCACCACUAACCAGUCUAGACCUCGGGCCGAGAGAUGAUGGUGAUGGACAAAACUAUGCACACAUUUCAAGUCUGCAGGAUCUGGAACCUCUGCAGGACCAGCAACUGCUGCAGUCAUAGACAUUCAACCCUUUAGAUAAAUAACCUGUCCCUGCCUGAGGUUGCAGACUGGCUAUGCUACAGGCUCCUUCUCCACGUGGGUCUCUGUCACUCCAGAGAAGCCCCAGAUGGAGUUUGGAAUUACCUGACCUGGGUAGACCAUUAUCCCAACCAUGAACUGCCCUGCUGUGGAUGGGUGAGGUCGGGGAGCGCAGAGACAUGGUGUGGUGGCCCACAAAUGCAUAAUAAAUGCAAGUAUAUAUUCACAUCACUGCCUCUGCCUGGGACUCCCCCAAUUUCCCUCGUGAAAUCAGUAGGUGGGACCCAGGAUUUGAGGCAAACAGACUUGAAUUCAAAACCUUGCUCUACCUUUUAUUAUACUACAGCCUUGGACAAGUGACUUGACCUCCUGCCAGAACUUCCUCAUCUAUAAAAUGGGGUGGGGAUGCUCACCCCCCCUAGGUCCUGGGGUGAGAAUUAGGAGGGAGUGUGUAAGAAGUACAAGCAAGGACCUCAUAGGUGGAUCACACUUGAGAUUUCAUGAUCACCUGCCUAAGGGCUCUGCCCAGGGUCACCUCCUCCAGGAAGCCUGUUUGGCAUCACACAGGGCUAGCAAAGCUGCCCUCUCUCCCGUGUUGCCACCUUUAGUCUAGUUUUUCUGUCUUUACAGUGCCCAUUCCCCUGCCUGCCUCACCUCUCAAAAUACCUGACAUUGAUUGAGCCCUCAAACCUCUGACACCAGACUAGGUGCCUAUUUGUUGGUCGCUCAUAUGGUCCCCAGACUUACGCUGGUGUC
Long non-coding RNA from Manis pentadactyla (Chinese pangolin), 997 nucleotides. RefSeq lists it as uncharacterized. The transcript is spliced from 3 exons. The record is from RefSeq and is a predicted model, not a curated record. Lineage: Eukaryota; Metazoa; Chordata; Mammalia; Pholidota; Manidae.